This 496-nucleotide ribosomal RNA is filed under the name uncultured bacterium. RNAcentral's name for it is "partial 16S ribosomal RNA". It matches the Rfam family "Bacterial small subunit ribosomal RNA", at positions 28 to 506 of the family's 1533-position model. The record is from RNAcentral.
GAUGAACGCUGGCGGCGUGCCUAAUACAUGCAAGUCGAGCGAACGGACGAGAAGCUUGCUUCUCUGAUGUUAGCGGCGGACGGGUGAGUAACACGUGGAUAACCUACCUAUAAGACUGGGAUAACUUCGGGAAACCGGAGCUAAUACCGGAUAAUAUUUUGAACCGCAUGGUUCAAAAGUGAAAGACGGUCUUGCUGUCACUUAUAGAUGGAUCCGCGCUGCAUUAGCUAGUUGGUAAGGUAACGGCUUACCAAGGCAACGAUGCAUAGCCGACCUGAAGGGGGGAACGUCCCCGCAGAAACAGAAACAAGGUCCGGACCCCCAGGGAAGGAAGCAUUGGGGAAUCUUCCAAAAAGGGCAAAACCCUGACGAGCAAAAGCCGGGGGAGUAUUAAAGGCUUUCGGUUCGGAAAAAUCUUUUAUUGGGGAAAAAAAAGUUUUAAAGUAACCUGGACCAUUUGAAGGGUACCUAAUCAGAAAGCAACGGCAAACUACGU